GAAUCCCGUCUUUGACACGGACUGCCUGUACAUUAUGGUGUGCUCUCGAAGAGUCGAGUUGUUUGGGAAUGCAGCUCAAAAUGGGUGGUAAAUGCCAUCUAAAGCUAAAUAUUGGCGAGAGACCGAUAGCGAACAAGUACCGUGAGGGAAAGAUGAAAAGAACUUUGGAAAGAGAGUUAAACAGUACGUGAAAUUGCUGAAAGGGAAACGCUUGAAGUCAGUCGCGUUGGCUAGAAAUCAACCUUGCUUUUGCUUUGUGUACUUUCUGGUUGACGGGUCAGCAUCAAUUUUGACCACUGGAUAAAGUCUUUGGGAAUGUGGCAUCUUCGGAUGUGUUAUAGCCCAUUGUCGCAUACGGUGGUUGGGAUUGAGGAACUCAGCACGCCGCAAGGCCGGGUUUCGACCACGUUCGUGCUUAGGAUGCUGGCAUAAUGGCUUUAAUCGACCCGUCUUGAAACACGGACCAAGGAGUCUAACAUGCCUGCGAGUGUUUGGGUGGAAAAACCCAUGCGCGUAAUGAAAGUGACAGCUGAGAUCCUCUCAUCAGGAGCAUCAGCGCCUGGACUUGAUCUACGGAGACGGUUCUACGGUAGAGCAUGUAUGUUGGGACCCGAAAGAUGGUGAACUAUGCCUGAAUAGGGUGAAGCCAGAGGAAACUCUGGUGGAGGCUCGUAGCGAUUCUGACGUGCAAAUCGAUCGUCAAAUUUGGGUAUAGGGGCGAAAGACUAAUCGAACCAUCUAGUAGCUGGUUCCUGCC
RNAcentral lists this ribosomal RNA (757 nucleotides) under uncultured Inocybe. RNAcentral's name for it is "partial 28S ribosomal RNA". It matches the Rfam family "Eukaryotic large subunit ribosomal RNA", at positions 216 to 962 of the family's 3401-position model. Lineage: Eukaryota; Fungi; Basidiomycota; Agaricomycetes; Agaricales; Cortinariaceae. The record is from RNAcentral.